CGUCUAUAUACGUAUAGCAUAUCAAUAAGCGGAGGAAAAGAAACUAACUAGGAUUCCCUUAGUAACGGCGAGUGAAGCGGGAAGAGCUCAAAUUUGAAAUCUUCAAGGUUCUACCUUGACGAAUUGUAGUUUAAAGAAGUGUUUUCUGUUGGAGUUUUGGUAAAAGUUCUUUGGAAUAGGACAUCAUAGAGGGUGAGAAUCCCGUAUUUGACCAUUAUUUCCAACUUUGUGAUACACUUUCAAAGAGUCGGGUUGUUUGGGAAUGCAGUCCAAAAUGGGUGGUAAAUUUCAUCUAAAGCUAAAUACUGGCGAGAGACCGAUAGCGAACAAGUACCGUGAGGGAAAGAUGAAAAGAACUUUGAAAAGAGAGUUAAACAGUACGUGAAAUUGUCAAAAGGGAAGCGUUUGACACCAGUGUUGUUUAGUUGAAAAUCAAUUCAAUAAUUUUUGAUUUUAAGUAGUAUUGACUUCAUCAGCUUGCUGCUUUCUUUUCAGGAAUUAUUGAAUGCACUUUUCAGUUAACAAGUCAACAUCAAUUUCUUUUGUUGUAAAAGGGUAAGAGGAAGGUGGCUUGCGCUUCGGCUCAAGUGUUUAUAGCCUUUUAUCUCUGCAAUCGGAGAGAUUGAGGUCUGCAGCGUAGAUCCUUCGGGGUUAGAUACAUUGGUGCUAAGCUAUAGCCUUGUAUAGACAACUUGUUGACUAUGCUCAGUCAUGUAGCUUACUCGCUGAUGCUAUUUUACCUACGCUUAGGAUGUUGAUAUGCAUGACUGAUAU
This 774-nucleotide ribosomal RNA is filed under the name uncultured Neocallimastigales. RNAcentral's name for it is "partial large subunit ribosomal RNA". It matches the Rfam family "Eukaryotic large subunit ribosomal RNA", at positions 26 to 641 of the family's 3401-position model. Lineage: Eukaryota; Fungi; Neocallimastigomycota; Neocallimastigomycetes; Neocallimastigales. The record is from RNAcentral.